GUCUACGGCCAAGCCACCCUGAACAAGCCCAAUGUCUGAUCUCAGAAGCUAAGCAGGGUUGAGCUUGGUUAGUACUUGGAUGGGAGACCACCUAGGAAGACCAGGUGCUGUAGGCA
Molecule: ribosomal RNA, 116 nt
Filed under: Pteropus alecto (black flying fox)
Lineage: Eukaryota; Metazoa; Chordata; Mammalia; Chiroptera; Pteropodidae
Source: RNAcentral